Molecule: ribosomal RNA, 1137 nt
Filed under: Flavobacterium sp.
Lineage: Bacteria; Pseudomonadati; Bacteroidota; Flavobacteriia; Flavobacteriales; Flavobacteriaceae
Description: bacterial SSU rRNA
Rfam family: Bacterial small subunit ribosomal RNA
Source: RNAcentral
GGUAUAAGUCUUCGGAUUUAGAGACCGGCGCACGGGUGCGUAACGCGUAUGCAAUCUACCUUUUACAGAGGGAUAGCCCAGAGAAAUUUGGAUUAAUACCUCAUAGUAUAUAGACUCGGCAUCGAGAUUAUAUUAAAGUCACAACGGUAAAAGAUGAGCAUGCGUCCCAUUAGCUAGUUGGUAAGGUAACGGCUUACCAAGGCUACGAUGGGUAGGGGUCCUGAGAGGGAGAUCCCCCACACUGGUACUGAGACACGGACCAGACUCCUACGGGAGGCAGCAGUGAGGAAUAUUGGACAAUGGGCGCAAGCCUGAUCCAGCCAUGCCGCGUGCAGGAUGACGGUCCUAUGGAUUGUAAACUGCUUUUAUACGAGAAGAAACACUGCUUCGUGAAGUAGCUUGACGGUAUCGUAAGAAUAAGGAUCGGCUAACUCCGUGCCAGCAGCCGCGGUAAUACGGAGGAUCCAAGCGUUAUCCGGAAUCAUUGGGUUUAAAGGGUCCGUAGGCGGUUUAAUAAGUCAGUGGUGAAAGCCCAUCGCUCAACGGUGGAACGGCCAUUGAUACUGUUAAACUUGAAUUAUUAGGAAGUAACUAGAAUAUGUAGUGUAGCGGUGAAAUGCUUAGAGAUUACAUGGAAUACCAAUUGCGAAGGCAGGUUACUACUAAUUGAUUGACGCUGAUGGACGAAAGCGUGGGUAGCGAACAGGAUUAGAUACCCUGGUAGUCCACGCCGUAAACGAUGGAUACUAGCUGUUGGGAGCAAUCUCAGUGGCUAAGCGAAAGUGAUAAGUAUCCCACCUGGGGAGUACGUUCGCAAGAAUGAAACUCAAAGGAAUUGACGGGGGCCCGCACAAGCGGUGGAGCAUGUGGUUUAAUUCGAUGAUACGCGAGGAACCUUACCAAGGCUUAAAUGUAGAUUGACCGGUUUGGAAACAGAUCUUUCGCAAGACAAUUUACAAGGUGCUGCAUGGUUGUCGUCAGCUCGUGCCGUGAGGUGUCAGGUUAAGUCCUAUAACGAGCGCAACCCCUGUUGUUAGUUGCCAGCGAGUCAUGUCGGGAACUCUAACAAGACUGCCAGUGCAAACUGUGAGGAAGGUGGGGAUGACGUCAAAUCAUCACGGCCCUUACGCCUUGGGC